RNAcentral lists this ribosomal RNA (410 nucleotides) under Phaeobacter sp. R-26160. Its description in RNAcentral is "bacterial SSU rRNA". It matches the Rfam family "Bacterial small subunit ribosomal RNA", at positions 21 to 457 of the family's 1533-position model. Lineage: Bacteria; Pseudomonadati; Pseudomonadota; Alphaproteobacteria; Rhodobacterales; Roseobacteraceae. The record is from RNAcentral.
GGCUCAGGAUGAACGCUGGCGGCAGGCCUAACACAUGCAAGUCGAGCGCGCCCUUCGGGGUGAGCGGCGGACGGGUUAGUAACGCGUGGGAACGUGCCCUUCUCUAAGGAAUAGCCACUGGAAACCGGUGAGUAAUACCUUAUACGCCCUUCGGGGGAAAGAUUUAUCGAGAGAAGGAUCGGCCCGCGUUAGAUUAGAUAGUUGGUGGGGUAACGGCCUACCAAGUCUACGAUCUAUAGCUGGUUUUAGAGGAUGAUCAGCAACACUGGGACUGAGACACGGCCCAGACUCCUACGGGAGGCAGCAGUGGGGAAUCUUGGACAAUGGGGGCAACCCUGAUCCAGCCAUGCCGCGUGAGUGAUGAAGGCCUUAGGGUCGUAAAGCUCUUUCGCCUGUGAUGAUAAUGACAG